AGUUUAGGUUUUUCUAAGAGACCAGUGUUGGAAAAAUCACAAAACUUAGGUUGGCACAUUAAACAUCAGGAAUUGUAUUUAAGGAUGCAUGAAUAAAAAGACUCUGGGCGGUUCUCCUCUGUGUAUGUGAGGGAGUGUGUGCAUGCACACACACCCUCUCACACACAUGUGUUAUGCAGUGUAUUUUACAAGCGUAUGUAAACACCUGUUUGGCUAUUAAGGCACACAACUUCACAUAUUCACUCUUUAUAUGUGCAUGAGUACUAAUGCUCUGAAAGUAUGUAAAAACAGCCCCCCCCCAUUUCCACAUUGGUUCUACAUACUCAAGUCUUGAUUACUGAAAAUGAAGAUUAUUCUACACAAUCUUUCUCCAAGGGACCAUGAAAAGUAUUUUGGUAUUAGGAACAGUGUACUCAAAGCGUUGUACGGAAAGAUUGCAAGAGAAGGACAACACGCAGAAUUUUUGCUCAUUGGAAAAAUACCGAUUCGAUUAGUUUCCACGGCAGGAGAAAACAUGCUGUGUGCUACAGCUCAGGAUCACAGCCUUGAAGCAUCGUCAAGAAAGGGAGCCUCUGGUGAAUUCGGCAGUAGAUUCCAAACAGACACUUCACAGCCCACCUGAGGUUGAGAAUCUUUCCCAGAUGUGAGUUGCUGAGAGACCAGAAAG
Non-coding RNA from Pogona vitticeps (central bearded dragon), 667 nucleotides. The record is from RefSeq and is a predicted model, not a curated record. NCBI's taxonomy places the organism in Eukaryota, Metazoa, Chordata, Lepidosauria, Squamata, Agamidae.